GACGAACGCUGGCGGCGUGCCUAAUACAUGCAAGUAGAACGCUGAAGGAGGAGCUUGCUUCUCUGGAUGAGUUGCGAACGGGUGAGUAACGCGUAGGUAACCUGCCUGGUAGCGGGGGAUAACUAUUGGAAACGAUAGCUAAUACCGCAUAAGAGUAGAUGUUGCAUGACAUUUGCUAAAAAGGUGCAAUUGCAUCACUACCAGAUGGACCUGCGUUGUAUUAGCUAGUUGGUGGGGUAACGGCUCACCAAGGCGACGAUACAUAGCCGACCUGAGAGGGUGAUCGGCCACACUGGGACUGAGACACGGCCCAGACUCCUACGGGAGGCAGCAGUAGGGAAUCUUCGGCAAUGGACGGAAGUCUGACCGAGCAACGCCGCGUGAGUGAAGAAGGUUUUCGGAUCGUAAAGCUCUGUUGUAAGAGAAGAACGAGUGUGAGAGUGGAAAGUUCACACUGUGACGGUAUCUUACCAGAAAGGGACGGCUAACUACGUG
This 495-nucleotide ribosomal RNA is filed under the name uncultured bacterium. RNAcentral describes it as "partial 16S ribosomal RNA". It matches the Rfam family "Bacterial small subunit ribosomal RNA", at positions 28 to 507 of the family's 1533-position model. The record is from RNAcentral.